RNAcentral lists this ribosomal RNA (497 nucleotides) under uncultured bacterium. Its description in RNAcentral is "partial 16S ribosomal RNA". It matches the Rfam family "Bacterial small subunit ribosomal RNA", at positions 28 to 507 of the family's 1533-position model. The record is from RNAcentral.
GAUGAACGCUGGCGGUGUGCCUAAUACAUGCAAGUCGAGCGAACAGACGAGGAGCUUACUCCUCUGACGUUAGCGGCGGACGGGUGAGUAACACGUGGAUAACCUACCUAUAAGACUGGGAUAACUUCGGGAAACCGGAGCUAAUACCGGAUAACAUGUUGAACCGCAUGGUUCAACAGUGAAAGACGGUCUUGCUGUCACUUAUAGAUGGAUCCGCGUCGCAUUAGCUAGUUGGUAAGGUAACGGCUUACCAAGGCAACGAUGCGUAGCCGACCUGAGAGGGUGAUCGGCCACACUGGAACUGAGACACGGUCCAGACUCCUACGGGAGGCAGCAGUAGGGAAUCUUCCGCAAUGGGCGAAAGCCUGACGGAGCAACGCCGCGUGAGUGAAGAAGGUCUUCGGAUCGUAAAACCCUGUUAUUAGGGAAGAACAAAUGUGUAAGUAACUAUGCACGUCUUGACGGUACCUAAUCAGAAAGCCACGGCUAACUACGUG